UACGAAGGGGGCGAGCGUUGUUCGGAUUUACUGGGCGUAAAGGGCGCGCAGGCGGCUCAUUUUGUCAGGCGUGAAAGCCCCGGGCUUAACCUGGGAACUGCGUUUGAUACGGAUGGGCUAGAGUUCGGGAGAGGAGAGUGGAAUUCCCAGUGUAGAGGUGAAAUUCGUAGAUAUCUGGAGGAACACCGGUGGCGAAGGCGGCAUCCUGGACCGGUACUGACGCUGAGGCGCGAAAGCGUGGGGAGCAAACAGG
Molecule: ribosomal RNA, 253 nt
Filed under: uncultured bacterium
Lineage: Bacteria
Description: partial 16S ribosomal RNA
Rfam family: Bacterial small subunit ribosomal RNA
Source: RNAcentral